GAUGAACGCUGGCGGCGUGCUUAACACAUGCAAGUCGAACGAGAAGUGAAGACGGAAACCUUCGGGCGGAAGGCUUUAUUUCGAGUGGCGGAUGGGUGAGUAACGCGUGGGUAACCUGCCUCAUACAGGGGGAUAACAGUUGGAAACGACUGUUAAUACCGCAUAAGACCACAGCACCGCAUGGUGCGGGGGUGAAAACUCCGGUGGUAUGAGAUGGACCCGCGUUCGAUUAGCCAGUUGGCGGGGUAACGGCCCACCAAAGCGACGAUCGAUAGCCGAUCUGAGAGGAUGACCGGCCACAUUGGGACUGAGACACGGCCCAAACUCCUACGGGAGGCAGCAGUGGGGAAUAUUGCACAAUGGGGGAAACCCUGAUGCAGCGACGCCGCGUGAGUGAAGAAGUAUUUCGGUAUGUAAAGCUCUAUCAGCAGGGAAGAAAAUGACGGUACCUGAGUAAGAAGCCCCGGCUAACUACGUG
Molecule: ribosomal RNA, 478 nt
Filed under: uncultured bacterium
Lineage: Bacteria
Description: partial 16S ribosomal RNA
Rfam family: Bacterial small subunit ribosomal RNA
Source: RNAcentral